This 1124-nucleotide ribosomal RNA is filed under the name Ehrlichia canis. RNAcentral's name for it is "partial 16S ribosomal RNA". The stretch from base 1 to 508 matches the Rfam family "Bacterial small subunit ribosomal RNA". The record is from RNAcentral. Lineage: Bacteria; Pseudomonadati; Pseudomonadota; Alphaproteobacteria; Rickettsiales; Anaplasmataceae.
UAUGGAUUAGGUGGGCAGACGGGUGAGUAAUGCGUAGGAUCUACCUAGUAGUACGGAAUAGCCAUUAGAAAUGGUGGGUAAUACUGUAUAAUCCCCGAGGGGGAAAGAUUUAUCGCUAUUAGAUGAGCCUACGUUAGAUUAGCUAGUUGGUGAGGUAAUGGCUUACCAAGGCUAUGAUCUAUAGCUGGUCUGAGAGGACGAUCAGCCACACUGGAACUGAGAUACGGUCCAGACUCCUACGGGAGGCAGCAGUGGGGAAUAUUGGACAAUGGGCGAAAGCCUGAUCCAGCUAUGCCGCGUGAGUGAAGAAGGCCUUCGGGUUGUAAAACUCUUUCAAUAGGGAAGAUAAUGCGGUUACCUAUAGAGCCCUUUCACCUAUUUCCUUUUUUUCCCAUUUACUUAAAAAUUUAAAAAAGUUCCAAAGCGAAUUUUUUUUGAAAACCUUCAAUUUUAAAAAUUUAACUAUACUGGGGGGGGGGGGGAAACCCCCCCCCCCCCAUUUUCGUAUUUUAAUGUAAAAAAAUUAAAUUUAUUAAUUUUGAACUUUUAAUUAAAAAUUUAAAUUUAACAUUUUAAAUUAUAAAAAUUAUACAUUUAUAAUUUUGAAGAGUAUUAAAUGCUUAUUGACUUAAAUCUAAAAUUCUUUAUUUUUAAACUUCAAAAUUAUUGAAAAUUUGACAAUUUAAUUUAACAAUUUUAACUUGGCAAGGUCAACUUCACUUAACCUCCAAUUACAUUUUAACUUAAAAAUUUCAUUAUUAAUUUAAUUUACUUUCCAAUUGAUUUUUUUAAAAUUGAAUUAUUCACAAUUUAAAAAUUUUUUAUUUAAUUUUAAAAAUAAAAUUCAAAUUAUUUAAAAAUUUCCUAAUUCUUUGAAUGCUUUUUAAUUCAAUUUUUCUUUUUAAAGUUACAAAUUUUUUGCAAAUUUUAAAUGGCCAAAAAUUUUAAAACUUAACUAAACCUUUGAAUCUUAACCCGAAUGGUUAAAAAACUUUUUAAAAUUUGACAAUCCUUGAGCUUAACUUUAAUCAAAUUCAACUUCAAAAAUCUUGUCAUACCUUUUGCAAUUCACAUGUAAUCACUCUUAAACACACCUUUACACACUCGCCAAAUUGACAAUUUCA